Molecule: long non-coding RNA, 467 nt
Organism: Artibeus jamaicensis (Jamaican fruit-eating bat)
Lineage: Eukaryota; Metazoa; Chordata; Mammalia; Chiroptera; Phyllostomidae
Exons: 4
Source: RefSeq, a predicted model, not a curated record
GCUCACCUUUCCCUUCCCAGAUGACAAAUCAGCCAUUAAUCUUGGUUUGAAAAACGUUUAUUGGCCGACUUCCUCCAGUAGCUUCUGAACUGUUUGCAAAUAAAGAGGAGGGAUUUUUGGUGACCUCAGUAGAGAUAGGAACUCACAGGUGGAUUUAUUCUCAGAGACCAGGAGAUUAGCUGUGAUGGCCUGCAUUAUGUGAAUUCACUUAGGGGAACAAGAGAAGCUCUUUUCAUGGAGAUGGCAAAAACCCAAGAGGAAAAGCAGAAGCUUCUAAGUUUUUAAGGGAGGGAAACAGCAUCGAUGUCUUCCAGGAGAGUGUCACUCAAGAGAACCUUGGGACCUGGAGUGCCAUGAUUGGGAAAGCAGAUCCAGGCACUCACACUAAAAUGGAUUUAAAGAUGAAAAGGCAUCGAAGUGGAAGAUGUUUGAAGGUGUCAUUUGGGUAUACGAAUGAGCUCUUUGGA